Molecule: ribosomal RNA, 577 nt
Filed under: Bacillus sp. (in: firmicutes)
Lineage: Bacteria; Bacillati; Bacillota; Bacilli; Caryophanales; Bacillaceae
Description: bacterial SSU rRNA
Rfam family: Bacterial small subunit ribosomal RNA
Source: RNAcentral
CGGGAGCUUGCUCCCGGAUGUUAACGGCGGAAGGGUGAGUAACACGUGGGUAACCGGCCUGUGAGACUGGGAUGACUCCGGGAAACCGGAGCUAAUACCGGAUAGUUCCUUGAAGCGGAGGGUUCAAGGAUGAAAGACGGUUUCGGCUGUCACUUACAGAUGGACCCGCGGCGCAUUAGCUAGUUGGUGGGGUAAUGGCUCACCAAGGCGACGAUGCGUAGCCGACCUGAGAGGGUGAUCGGCCACACUGGGACUGAGACACGGCCCAGACUCCUACGGGAGGCAGCAGUAGGGAAUCUUCCGCAAUGGACGAAAGUCUGACGGAGCAACGCCGCGUGAGUGAUGAAGGUUUUCGGAUCGUAAAGCUCUGUUGUUAGGGAAGAACAAGUGCGAGAGUAACUGCUCGCACCUUGACGGUACCUAACCAGAAAGCCACGGCUAACUACGUGCCAGCAGCCGCGGUAAUACGUAGGUGGCAAGCGUUGUCCGGAAUUAUUGGGCGUAAAGGGCUCGCAGGCGGUUUCUUAAGUCUGAUGUGAAAGCCCCCGGCUCAACCGGGGAGGGUCAUUGGAAACUG